RNAcentral lists this ribosomal RNA (484 nucleotides) under uncultured bacterium. RNAcentral's name for it is "partial 16S ribosomal RNA". It matches the Rfam family "Bacterial small subunit ribosomal RNA", at positions 28 to 507 of the family's 1533-position model. The record is from RNAcentral.
AUUGAACGCUGGCGGCAUGCUUUACACAUGCAAGUCGAACGGCAGCGCGGGCUUCGGCCUGGAGGCGAGUGGCGAACGGGUGAGUAAUGCAUCGGAACGCGCCCAGUAGUGGGGGAUAGCCCGGCGAAAGCCGGAUUAAUACCGCAUACGACCUGAGGGUGAAAGCGGGGGACCGAAAGGCCUCGCGCUAUUGGAGCGGCCGAUGUCGGAUUGGCUAGUUGGUGGGGUAAAGGCUUACCAAGGCGACGAUCCGUAGCUGGUCUGAGAGGACGACCAGCCACACUGGGACUGAGACACGGCCCAGACUCCUACGGGAGGCAGCAGUGGGGAAUUUUGGACAAUGGGGGCAACCCUGAUCCAGCCAUGCCGCGUGCGGGAAGAAGGCCUUCGGGUUGUAAACCGCUUUUGUUCGGGAAGAAAUCCUCUGGGCUAAUACCCCGGGGGGAUGACGGUACCGGAAGAAUAAGCACCGGCUAACUACGUG